RNAcentral lists this long non-coding RNA (1250 nucleotides) under Gallus gallus (chicken). RNAcentral describes it as "lncRNA (ENSGALG00010000880.1)". The record is from RNAcentral. Lineage: Eukaryota; Metazoa; Chordata; Aves; Galliformes; Phasianidae.
GUGGUCCCAAAGCAGCUUUCUUGCAAGGACAUGCAGUGUCCCAAAGGGAGCUCAUGUAGGAUGACAGAUGGAUGGCCCCACUGUGUGCAGAACCAGCCGUCCUGUCAUGAUAUCCAAUGUCAGAAGGGAACGGAGUGCCAGAUGGUGAAUGGUUGGCUUCAGUGUGUCCAAAUCAAGACCUCUGUCAGGAGACCCACCUGUAGUGAUGUUCGGUGCUCCAAGGGGACGGUGUGUCAGAUGGUGGAUGGAUGGCCUCAGUGUCUUCAACCCAAGGUGGCCCCAAGGCAGCCUUCUUGCAAGGACAUGCAGUGUCCCAAAGGGACGUCGUGUAGGAUGACAGAUGGGUGGCCCCACUGUGUGCAGAACCAGCCCUCAUGCCAGGACGUCCAAUGUCAGAAGGGAACCGUGUGCCAGAUGGUCAAUGGUUGGCCCCAGUGUGUCCAGACGAAGACUUCCAUCAGGAGACCCACCUGUAGUGACCUACGGUGUUCCAAAGGUUCAGCGUGUGAGACGGUGGAUGGUUGGCCUCAGUGUGUUCAACCCAAGGUGGUCCCAAGGCAGCCUUCUUGCAAAGACAUGCAGUGUCCCAAGGGGUCCUCAUGUAGGAUGACAGAUGGGUGGCCGCAUUGUGUUCAGAACCAGCCGUCCUGCCAGGAUGUCCAAUGCCAAAAGGGAACGGAGUGUCAGACAGUGAAUGGUUGGCCUCAGUGUGUCCAGACAAAGACUUCCAUCAGGAGACCCACCUGCAGUGAUGUUCGGUGCUCCAAGGUGAUGGUGUGUCAGAUAGUGGAUGGAUGGCCUCAAUGUUUGCAACCCAAGGUGGUCCCAAGGCAGCCUUCUUGCAAGGACAUGCAGUGUCCCAAGGGGUCCUCAUGUAGGAUGACAGAUGGGUGGCCCCAUUGUGUUCAGAACCAGCCCUCAUGCCAGGAUGUUCAGUGUCAGAAGGGAACCGUGUGCCAGAUGGUGGAUGGAUGGCCUCAUUGUGUCCAAAUCAAGACUUCCAUCAGGAGACCCACCUGCAGUGAUGUUCGGUGCUCCAAGGGGACAGUGUGUGAGAUGGUGGAUGGAUGGCCUCAAUGUGUUCAACCCAAGGUGGUCCCAAGGCAGCCUUCUUGCAAGGACAUGCAGUGUCCCAAAGGGAGCUCAUGUAGGAUGACAGAUGGGUGGCCCCAUUGUGUGCAGAACCAGCCCUCCUGCAGUGACAUCUACUGCCAGAAGGGAACUGAGUGCCAAAUGGUCAAUGGUUGGCC